CCACAGACACUCAGAUAUAUAGGCAAAUCUGCCUUUGACAGAAAGAACCUUGCUAAAAGGAAUUAUUAAGGGUCAUAAAGGCCCUUGUUGCAUUACUACCCUGGCAUUCACUUAUUGUUCUGUUCCUGCCUCUGGUUAUGCCUGAACCAGCAUGGCCCUACCUCCUCCUUCAUUGCUCUUGCCAACAUUUGCCAACCUGAAAUCAGGAACCAUCCAUGUGGGGGUGAAAAGUGACCAGCAACCCUUGAUGCCACCUUAACUCCAAUAAACCAGUACACUGGGAUGGGUAUGGGCCAACCCUGAAAAUACAUCAGCCCCAUAUUUAUAGUGAUGCUUCCUCAGAUUUUAAGCCACAUAUACCAGAUAAAUGUUUUUGUCCUUUUAUUUCUCUAUUUAAAAAAAAGAGUCUCUAUAAAAAUAAUUCCUUUUAAAUUCUUUAAUUAGGUGUAAAUUUUAUAUCCAGCCCAAAUACAUCUCUUUUUCUUUCAUUCACUCAGAAACACGGAAGUGUCACUUGCAUGGAGAGUUGGAGAGAAGCCUGCAUCUCAAGAUUACAACAGAGUGUGAUAAGCAUAAUGAUAGGGACAUGUAGAAAGGGCUGUGGGAGCAACAAAGACCUUGCCAAAGGGGCCAGAGGGCAUACAGAGAAAAGGACGUUUGAACUACAUCUUCAGAAGUCAAAAUUUAGCCACAUAUAGACUCAAAAUUCUUUCCAAAGUAGAAUGCUGGCUAAAGCUCUUUCCCAUAAUUACUCUGAUUAGAUGAUCCACCUAAGCAUGUUAUAUGGCUUCUCUGUCAUUACAUGAUUUCACUGUCUUCUCGUGUGUUGGUGCAUUGUGACUUCAUACAUUCCAAGGGCAUUCCACAUGGCAACCAAAGGGCAGGAAGUGAGGACAGAGGGCCUUGCUUAGGGCUGUAGCUGUUAUAUGGCAGCCCUCUUUGCAGUCACAUUAUCCUUGUUUCCUCCUAUAACAUGGGAGAGUCUUUCUUUUUAGGGUUCAGUGGCUCAACAGGUUUGGAAGGAUUUGGUAAAGGGAUGCUUCCUUGAGUUCUACUGCUUGGAGAAGACAGGAAAUUUAGCAAGUCAAAUGGCAAAGGUAAAACCACUGUGGAAGGUUUCUCUGUGGACAAGGAUUGCAGGGUGUGGAGGUACCGGAGCUGAACAGCAGCUGGAGUGCCUGAUAGAAUCUCGGCUGCCAUCCUCAGGGACUCGGACGCAGCCUUCUCCCCUUCCGCAGCGAUCAUCUAGACAAGGGAUGUGAAGAAAAGCAAAGUGAUUUUUCUUCUUCGCUCCAUGAAGGUUUUAAUCCUACUUAGCGUGACUCAACAAACAAGCACUAGUAUCUACUGUGUGAUAGGUCACUGCAUCCAAGGCAACCUGUGGAGGGAAGAGUUUAGAUGUCAGUAAGAACCUCCAGGUGGGAGGAGAGCACCCCUAUGCACCGAUGGCCAUUGCACUGAGAAAGCACAUUUCUCAUUAUGUACUUCCCUGUUUUGUUUUAACAUUAUAGGGCCUUGCAAAAGUUGUUUAAUUUGCACAGUGCCACUCAACAAAUAUUUGUGGAAUUAAAGAUGGUGUGGUAGGCUGACUAAUGGCUCCUAAAGACAUCCAUGCCCUAAUCCCUGGAACCUGUGAGUGUUACCCCAAAAGAGACUUUGCAGAUGCAAUUAAGUUCCAGGCUGUUAAAAUGGGGAGUUUAUCCUGGAUCUUGCUGGUGGGCCCUAAAAGCCACUGCAAGUGUCCUUAUAAGAGGGAAGUGGAGGGACAUCUGGCUACAGAAGAGGAGAAGGUGGUGUGAUGAUGGAAGCAGAGGUUGGAGUGCUGUGCUUUUAAGAUGGAGGAAGGGACCAUGAUCUAAAGAAUGCAGGUGGUCACCUGAAGCUGAAAAAGGCAAGGAAAUGAAUUCUCCUCUCAAAACCUCCAGAAGGAACCAGUCCUGCUGACUGACACCUUGACUCUGGCCCAGUAAAACUUCUUUUGGACUUCUGGCCUUCAAAACUGUAAGGUUGGGACUUCCCUGGUGGUCCAGUGGUAAAGAAUCCGCCUUCCAAUGCAGGGGACGCGGGUUCAGAGUACUAGGAUCCCAUGUGCCGCAGGGCAACUAAGCCCGUGCGCCACAACCAAGAGCCUGCGCACCACUACUAAGACCCGAUGCAGCCAAUAAAUAAAUAGAUAUAUUUUUUUUAAAAACUGUAAGGUUAAAUUGGUGGUGGUUUAAGCUGUCAAGUUUGUGGUAAUUUGUUACAGAAGCAAUAGGAAAUAAUAGAGAUGGUAUAUUUGUUAAA
This is a long non-coding RNA of Lagenorhynchus albirostris (white-beaked dolphin), 2286 nucleotides long. RefSeq lists it as uncharacterized. Lineage: Eukaryota; Metazoa; Chordata; Mammalia; Artiodactyla; Delphinidae. The record is from RefSeq and is a predicted model, not a curated record. The transcript has 2 exons.